This 253-nucleotide ribosomal RNA is filed under the name uncultured bacterium. RNAcentral's name for it is "partial 16S ribosomal RNA". It matches the Rfam family "Bacterial small subunit ribosomal RNA", at positions 524 to 776 of the family's 1533-position model. The record is from RNAcentral.
UACGUAGGGUGCAAGCGUUGUCCGGAAUUAUUGGGCGUAAAGAGCUCGUAGGCGGUUUGUCGCGUCUGCUGUGAAAACUCGGGGCUUAACUCCGGGCCUGCAGUGGGUACGGGCAGACUAGAGUGCGGUAGGGGAGACUGGAAUUCCUGGUGUAGCGGUGAAAUGCGCAGAUAUCAGGAGGAACACCGGUGGCGAAGGCGGGUCUCUGGGCCGUAACUGACGCUGAGGAGCGAAAGCGUGGGGAGCAAACAGG